This 583-nucleotide ribosomal RNA is filed under the name Leptotrichalus sp. VK-2011. RNAcentral describes it as "partial 16S large subunit ribosomal RNA". The stretch from base 380 to 521 matches the Rfam family "Archaeal large subunit ribosomal RNA", at positions 2542 to 2701 of the family's 2987-position model. The record is from RNAcentral. Lineage: Eukaryota; Metazoa; Arthropoda; Insecta; Coleoptera; Lycidae.
CAUGUCCUUUUGAAGUUAAUUUAAGGUUUAAUCUGCUCAAUGAUAUUUAAAUUGCCGCAGUAUUUUGACUGUGCAAAAGUAGCAUAAUAAUUAAUUUCUUAAUUAGAAACUGGAAUGAAUGAUUGGACAAGAAAAUUUCUGUCUCUUUUUAAAUUUUAAAAAUUUUUGUUUUUAAGUAAAAAAGCUUAAAUUUUUAUAAAAAAAACGAUAAGACCUUAUAGAAUUUGAUAGUCAGUAUUAGUUUAAUUUUAGAAAUAAAUUUUAUAAUUGUUUAUUUGGUUGGGGGUGAUUUAAAGAUUAAAAAAUUCAUUAGUAUUUUAAUUAGUGAUUUCUAAACUGUAAUUCUAUUUUUUAUAAAAAUAAAAUAAAUUAUCUUAGUGAUAACAGCGUAAUUUUGGAAAAAAAGUUUGCGACCUCGAUGUUGGAUUAAAAUUAAUUUUUAGUGCAGUAACUUAAAAAUUAGAUCUGUUCAACCUUUAAAAUUUUACAUGAUCUGAGUUUAAACCGGUGUAAACCAGGUUGGAAUCUAUCUUUAGAAAGAUUAUAUAUUUUAGUACAAAAGAACCAAAUAUAUAUUGAAUUA